GAAUCAACGCUGGCGGCGUGCCUCAGACAUGCAAGUCGAACGAUUAAACUUCCUUCGGGAAAGAUAUAAAGUGGCGCACGGGUGAGUAACACGUAGGUAAUGUACCUUUGGGUGGGGAAUAACUUAGGGAAACUUAAGCUAAUACCGCAUAAUGCAGCGGCUUCUUCGGAAGACAGUUGUUAAAGAUUUAUCGCCUAAAGAGCAGCCUGCGGCAGAUUAGCUAGUUGGUAAGGUAACGGCUUACCAAGGCUACGAUCUGUAUCCGACCUGAGAGGGUGGUCGGACACACUGACACUGAAUAACGGGUCAGACUCCUACGGGAGGCAGCAGUCGGGAAUUUUGGGCAAUGGGCGAAAGCCUGACCCAGCAACGCCGCGUG
Molecule: ribosomal RNA, 379 nt
Filed under: uncultured bacterium
Lineage: Bacteria
Description: bacterial SSU rRNA
Rfam family: Bacterial small subunit ribosomal RNA
Source: RNAcentral